GAUGAACGCUAGCGGCAGGCCUAAUACAUGCAAGUCGAACGGUAAGGCCCUUUCGGGGGUACACGAGUGGCGGACGGGUGCGUAACGCGUAUGCAACAUGCCUUCCAGCGGGGGAUAUACCAGGGAAACUUGGCGCAAUACCCCAUAGAAUUACGGGACCGCAUGGUCUUGUGAUUAAAACUCCGGUGCUGGGAGAUUGGCAUGCGUGACAUUAGCUAGUUGGCGGGGUAACGGCCCACCAAGGCGACGAUGUCUAGCUGGUCUGAGAGGACGACCAGCCACACUGGAACUGAGACACGGUCCAGACUCCUACGGGAGGCAGCAGUGGGGAAUUUUGGACAAUGGGGGCGAACCCUGAUCCAGCCAUGCCGCGUGAGUGAAGAAGGCCU
This 389-nucleotide ribosomal RNA is filed under the name uncultured bacterium. RNAcentral describes it as "bacterial SSU rRNA". It matches the Rfam family "Bacterial small subunit ribosomal RNA", at positions 28 to 417 of the family's 1533-position model. The record is from RNAcentral.